GAGAGUAUCAAUCUUCCUCAGAACGGGUCAACAGAGUCCUGAAACACUCAACACACACACUGGAUUCGCCUGAAAGGAUAAUUUGACCCAAAAGGGAAAAUCCAGCCCGAAAAUCAGGCUGGCACGCGCUAAUAAAACCCGUCGUUCGCUCCUGCAGCACGUGAUCCGCCGUGAUAUCGUCCUGAAACACACGUUCAGUGACACAUUACGACGGCGUGUGACGAUGCAGCCGAGGUCCCACGUUCUGUGAAAUGCGGCUCUGCCUACAUCAAAAUAACAUAACAGCGGGCUUAUGUGCAAACAGUAAAAAGCCCCGUGCCACGCACUGUGCCCCCUGCGUCUCACACCGCCCACGCACCCACCCACCCAAUCAGCCGGCCGGCCGUCCUGUGGACCGCCCUGUCAGGAGAUGAAGAGGCAGUGGAAGGAAGAGGGCAGUGGUAACACAGCUGCCCACCAUGACCUGUACAAAAGAUAGCACCCAUAUACUUUCUGACAGCCAGAUUAAUGAAACCCUAUAGGAGCUCCUCUGUAGGCCCCCCAAAAGCCUGACGGAGACAGAAUAGU
Molecule: long non-coding RNA, 567 nt
Organism: Acanthopagrus latus (yellowfin seabream)
Lineage: Eukaryota; Metazoa; Chordata; Actinopteri; Spariformes; Sparidae
Exons: 3
Source: RefSeq, a predicted model, not a curated record